This 253-nucleotide ribosomal RNA is filed under the name uncultured bacterium. RNAcentral's name for it is "partial 16S ribosomal RNA". It matches the Rfam family "Bacterial small subunit ribosomal RNA", at positions 524 to 776 of the family's 1533-position model. The record is from RNAcentral.
UACGUAGGUGGCAAGCGUUGUCCGGAUUUACUGGGCGUAAAGGGCGUGCAGGCGGUUUGUUAAGUGCAGAGUGAAAGCUCCCGGCUCAACUGGGAGAGGUCUUUGCAUACUGGCAAACUCGAGGGAGGCAGAGGAAAGUGGAAUUCCCGGUGUAGUGGUGAUAUGCGUAGAUAUCGGGAGGAACACCUGUGGCGAAGGCGGCUGUCUGGGCCGUACCUGACGCUGAGACGCGAAAGCGUGGGGAGCGAACCGG